AUGAGGUAGGUGCAACUAUUAAAAAUGUAAAACAAGAGUUAUAAAUAUGUAAAAUAACAUUUAGAAAGCGAUCACGUGACGCGCGGCUAGCCACUGCACCUCAACUAGAUGAAGUCAUGACUGUGCCUCGAGUGUCCCUUUAAUAUACUGAGAAUAAGAGGGAACAUGCUCUUAUUCCUCCACUCACUGCCCAGCGUUUUAGUGGUAAAAAUAACUAGUGACUAGGCAGCUAUUGCUGCCCAGUUGAAAAGGGUCCCAUCCUAUUAGCGGUGGAAUGGGGGUUGUAAAUGAAUGGGGGGAGACAUGGCACUGAUCCUCCCCAUGGUCAUUGGGACAUAGCCGCAUAG
This is a non-coding RNA of Pelobates cultripes (western spadefoot toad), 347 nucleotides long. NCBI's taxonomy places the organism in Eukaryota, Metazoa, Chordata, Amphibia, Anura, Pelobatidae. The record is from the annotation of a GenBank genome assembly.